AGCGAACGCUGGCGGCAGGCUUAACACAUGCAAGUCGAGCGGGCACUUUCGGGUGUCAGCGGCGGACGGGUGAGUAACGCGUGGGAACGUGCCCUCUGGUUCGGAAUAACUCAGGGAAACUUGAGCUAAUACCGGAUACGCCCUUUUGGGAAAAGGCUUGCUGCCGGAGGAUCGGCCCGCGUCUGAUUAGCUAGUUGGUGAGGUAACGGCUCACCAAGGCGACGAUCAGUAGCUGGUCUGAGAGGAUGAUCAGCCACACUGGGACUGAGACACGGCCCAGACUCCUACGGGAGGCAGCAGUGGGGAAUAUUGGACAAUGGGCGCAAGCCUGAUCCAGCCAUGCCGCGUGAGUGAUGAAGGCCUUAGGGUUGUAAAGCUCUUUUAUCCGGGACGAUAAUGACGGUACCGGAGGAAUAAGCCCCGGCUAACUUCGUG
Molecule: ribosomal RNA, 435 nt
Filed under: uncultured bacterium
Lineage: Bacteria
Description: partial 16S ribosomal RNA
Rfam family: Bacterial small subunit ribosomal RNA
Source: RNAcentral